UGCCUCAGCCAUAUCUCCCUGCAGCCCAAGACCGGUUACUCACUUAUGCCAAGCAGGGCUAAGCCUGGUCAGUAGCAGAAAGGGAGACCUCAUGGGAAAGCUAGGUUGCAUGGGAAA
RNAcentral lists this ribosomal RNA (117 nucleotides) under Danio rerio (zebrafish). Lineage: Eukaryota; Metazoa; Chordata; Actinopteri; Cypriniformes; Danionidae. The record is from RNAcentral.